Molecule: long non-coding RNA, 2458 nt
Organism: Centrocercus urophasianus (Greater sage-grouse)
Lineage: Eukaryota; Metazoa; Chordata; Aves; Galliformes; Phasianidae
Exons: 5
Source: RefSeq, a predicted model, not a curated record
UCCUCCUUCUGGUGUUUUGUGGUGAGCCCAGCAUAAGGAAACUUGCUGAAAAGAAUUAAUCAGAGGGAAAAAUGGGGAAUUUCAUGUUAUUUCUCCUUGCAAUAAUACUUCCACCUUCAGACAAGAAUGCAACUAUUCUGCCGGCUCCUAGACUCUGUAUUUCUGAGUGUCUCUGUCACUGGCCAAGGUAAGAAGAUUUGCAGUACCCAUGCAGAAUUACAUCAACAGAAUAAAAUCAUUGGAAGAGUUUGGUGCCAAAUCCAAGCCUAGACUGUGGCUUAGCUGUAACAACUUACCCGAGGAAAAUGAAGUGUCUGAACUGAUAGAGCAUAUACAAAAAUCAACACAUCUAGUUUCUGUCAUCAUUCUUUCAUUAAAACUGCACCAAAGCAGAGUAAGAAACUCUGAGUGAAGUUCUUCACAGGGCCUGUGGGAGCUGACACCUGGCCUCUCUCUGCUUUCCUCUUAGCAUUUCUCCAUAUCCCUGUGGAACUAAUAGUCAUGCAUUAUGAAACAUAUCUAAACAUUAAGGGCAAACAAUUGGAAAUCUUUGAUGCUUCACUUCUUUUGGAAUAACAAAAAAAAGCAAAAUAAAGUGUAUCAAAAUGUAGAGUGUUUUAGAGGAGGACUGUUUUCUGAAUCACACUUGAGCUUCUUCAGUGGUUUCAUACCUUUUUUCUCCAACAGUAACGCAUAACUAUGCUGGUGUUAAAACCAGCUACGAUAAAUAGAAUUUUCUUCAAGAUCAAAACAGGCAAUAUCUUUAUCUAUUUUUUGCUUUGUUUUGUUUUUAACUAGAAAGAAUUUGCAUAGGUAGGUCUUAAAGUUGAGGCUGUUUGGCAACUCAUUAUUUGAUUUAGGUUUGGUACAAGAAACACUUUGUUUGGAGCAAACAAAAUAUUUUAAUUGCUAUACAAAUUGUGAAUGCUUAAUUAUAUGAAUAUAGUCAAUAUUUUGAAAAUUGAAUGUUAAAAAAUUUUAGAGGUGAGAGAAAUUAUUUGCCUGAUGCUUCAUCACAUUUUGUUCAUUUUCAUGGACUUUUGUGGCCAAGUGUUCAGAGUAAAAUCUAUCAACUUUUUCUUCCUGAGUGCAUUCUCAAUACAUGUAUCUGAGAUAAAGCAUAUUCUGAAGCUCUAUACUGCAUGCCACAGCUCUACGUGCUGCCAAACAGAUGUCUGCCAGCAUUCAUUUAUUAACACUAACAAAGGCAGUACCAAAGACAGCAGAGAGCUGGCCUGAAUGCUGCAACAGGAGAAGAAGGGCUGGGGUGGUACAAGAACUCUGUUUUCAAAAGGAGAAAAAGUUCUUCUACACAGAAGAACUAAAACUGAACUGUUUUUACAGUCAUAACAGAACAUAGAUCUAAAAGUGGGAUUUAGCUCACAGUUUGAGCAAUCUAAUUUUAUCUGUCUGUGUAUGGAGACCGAAGCUCCCAUUAUAAUCAAACUGUGAAAAUAGUCCCAGCAAAACCUGAAGAAUUAUUCAGCUCCCGCUAUGGAAAUUCCUUACUUGAACAAAGCACAGUCCAUUCUACAGAUUCUACAUUUACAACAGAAGUUUGCUCUUAGUUCCCACUGGAAGACAGGUCUCUCACCUAGGACCAAGGUUCAUGCCCUGCAGUACACUGUGUUAAUGGGGACCGCCCCACGUCUUCAGGAGAUCAGUGUUCUUCCCUUGCAAACUCUGCAGUCUCCUCUUUCAAAGAGUCUCCUUCCUAUCAUCAAAUCAGCUUCUCACAAACAGAUCUGAAGUCCUGUUACGACAUUAGACAAGCUAAACCAGCUUAUUUCCAUGGAAACCAGACUGAUUGUUAACUUUGUCAUCUUUCUCACACUGCUAAUUUGAAUGUGGCAUUUGAAUAAACUCUCAUUUGUUACUGGAGUGUUCUUUGUUAUGGGUGAAGAUGCUGAUGCCUCAGAAGGUCCUGAAAACAUUUACCACUACCUUCUUUACUUACCAACCACAGUGAAACUCAUCUCAAAGGUUUUAUUUCUUCCAGUAGCCAUGCAGCGGUACUUUGCGAAGUCGGAAGCUGUGACGUUUUGAAUGACAAUCGUUGAGCUUGCCUGACCAGAGCAAUCCACCAGUGCACGUUUUAUGAAAUCUGAACCAAAUCUUCGCUCUCCUCCUGAGUUACACAGGACAAUGGGCCUUCCAUCUGUCAGCGAUGAAAAAGUGAAAAAGAAAAGGCAUCUGUAAUGAGAGCUAUAACCUCCUCCAUUUCUCAGGACUUCUGGUCAUUGUGGCAAGUCAGUCAUGCCUUAUUAGGAUUAAAUUUUCUUCUCUUUAAUUUUUUUUCCCUUGGUGGAAAACAAAGCUAGCUCACACCAUCUAUCACAUGGUGAGGUGAAGAAGUUUUCUGUGAUCAGAGAGUAAGUUGUAAAAAAGAGUUUUGCUGAUUCUCCUACAAUGCCAAUCUGUUAAUAAUUAUAAAUAAUAAUUCAGUUAAUAACUGAAU